GCUACAAACCGGGUUAUCACAUCAAUGAAAAUUGAUGAGGAAAGUCCGGACAGCAUAGAGCAACACACCGGUUAACAUCCGGUUUCAAUCCUGAGCUUGGUGAAGGAUUGAAAAGAAAGUGCCACAGAAAAUUACUGCUGUGUUUUGUGGAGACACAAACCUUGGCGAGGGUGAAAACGUGAGGUAAGAGCUCACGAAAAGUAUUGGCAACAAUAUUUUUGGGUAAACCUUGUGUGCUGUAAUGCCACGUAUAUCAGCGUUUGAGGGCUGCUCGUCCGAUGCUGAAGGGUAGGCAGCAAGACUGUAACAGUAAUGUUGCGGCAAGAUAAAUGAUAACCAUCCAAUCCCGAUAGUAUCGGGAGCGGUUACAGAAUCCGGCUUACAGGUUUGUAGUUACU
Molecule: RNase P RNA, 398 nt
Filed under: Bacteroidota bacterium
Lineage: Bacteria; Pseudomonadati; Bacteroidota
Description: RNase P RNA component class A
Rfam family: Bacterial RNase P class A
About the family: Ribonuclease P (RNase P) is a ubiquitous endoribonuclease, found in archaea, bacteria and eukarya as well as chloroplasts and mitochondria. Its best characterised activity is the generation of mature 5'-ends of tRNAs by cleaving the 5'-leader elements of precursor-tRNAs.
Source: RNAcentral